Apus apus (common swift) is the source of this 354-nucleotide long non-coding RNA. RefSeq lists it as uncharacterized. The record is from RefSeq and is a predicted model, not a curated record. The transcript has 3 exons. Lineage: Eukaryota; Metazoa; Chordata; Aves; Apodiformes; Apodidae.
GUAAAUUUUACAGUCCAGUUUUAAAAAAUCUCCAGGGAAAAGUGAAGGGACUUUUGGGACAGGAAAGGAGCUCCUGAGGUGCCAGUGGUGCCCAGACUGGAGGGAAGGGACUUUUGGGACAGGAAAGGAGCUCCUGAUGAGGUGCCAGUGGUGCCCAGACUGGAGGGAAAGGACUUUUGGGACAGGAAAGGAGCUCCUGAGGUGCCAGUGGUGCCCAGACUGGAGGGAAGGGACUUUUGGGACAGGAAAGGAGCUCCUGAUGAGGUGCCAGUGGUGCCCAGACUGGAGGGAAGGGACUUUUGGGACAGGAAAGGAGCUCCUGAUGAGGUGCCAGUGGUGCCCAGACUGGAGGGA